RNAcentral lists this transfer RNA (74 nucleotides) under Olpidium bornovanus. It matches the Rfam family "tRNA". Rfam says of the family: Transfer RNA (tRNA) molecules are approximately 80 nucleotides in length. The record is from Rfam by way of RNAcentral. Lineage: Eukaryota; Fungi; Olpidiomycota; Olpidiomycetes; Olpidiales; Olpidiaceae.
GGUCUCUUAGCUCAGUUGGUUAGAGCGUGGUGCUAAUAACGCCAAGGUCACAGGUUCGACCCCUGUAGGGACCA